GCUGAAUAUAACACAAUGUAAAGAGAAACGCUGAAAAGUGAUAAAAAGAUAAGUAACUGAGUUUAUAUUGAGGCUUAUACCGUUUAUACCUGUUACGUUUUUCAUCAUCUUUUUUUUUCCUGCCUUGUUAUCGGAGGAUUAAUAAAAUCAAUAAGAUUAUAACGUACAAAUGCAAAACAAAUGCCAGUUAAUUUACAAGUGUACGAUUUUCAUUAAAUCAGUGUACAAACAAUAUCUGUGUACAACAUCUCUAGAAAAAUAAAAUGAAAAUUAGUACGAAAAUAACAACAUAAAUUUCGAUGACUUGUCCAAAUCGGUUCAUUGUGUCAAUUGUGUCAAUUGUGUCAAUGAUUCUCAACCUGUUUACAAUAAAUACACGCCCGCAAGGCUAAUCCAUUAUCAAAAGUACUCGGUUUUUUUUACCAACGGAAAGAAAGGGAAUAUGAUUGCUAUGUGUCUAGAGUUGUAUAGCUUUCAGGUGGAGGCAGAGAAAAAUUUUUAUUUUGAUAAAAAAAACUCCCAAAAUUGAACUGUAUACAAUAGACGUUUCGUUUUUUGAAUGCAUAAUGCCGUACAAACCUCGUUCUUUUGUGUACAAUAUUUCGAGGAUAAAAAUGUUCACGCAGCUGAAAUACACAUGAAAAUAGGGCCACAAAUG
Long non-coding RNA from Bradysia coprophila, 658 nucleotides. Lineage: Eukaryota; Metazoa; Arthropoda; Insecta; Diptera; Sciaridae. The record is from RefSeq and is a predicted model, not a curated record.